AUGACAUCGGCAGCAUAUAUACUAAAAUUGGAAUGAUACAGAGAAGAUUAGCAUGGCCCCUGAGCAAGGAUGACAUGCAAAUUCGUGAAGUGUUCCAUAUAUGG
This 104-nucleotide small nuclear RNA is filed under the name Terrapene triunguis (Three-toed box turtle). Lineage: Eukaryota; Metazoa; Chordata; Testudines; Emydidae. The record is from RNAcentral.